This 439-nucleotide ribosomal RNA is filed under the name uncultured bacterium. Its description in RNAcentral is "partial 16S ribosomal RNA". It matches the Rfam family "Bacterial small subunit ribosomal RNA", at positions 339 to 795 of the family's 1533-position model. The record is from RNAcentral.
CUACGGGAUGCACCAGUGGGGAAUUUUGCGCAAUGGGGGGAACCCUGAUGCAGCAACGCCGCGUGGAGGAUGACGCAUUUCGGUGUGUAAACUCCUUUUAUAUGUCAAGAAAAUGACGGUAGCAUAUGAAUAAGCACCGGCUAACUCCGUGCCAGCAGCCGCGGUAAUACGGAGGGUGCAAGCGUUACUCGGAAUCACUGGGCGUAAAGGACGCGUAGGCGGGUUGGAAAGUCAGGUGUGAAAUCCUACAGCUUAACUGUAGAACUGCACUUGAAACUUCUAAUCUAGAGUAUGGGAGGGGGAGAUGGAAUUAGUGGUGUAGGGGUAAAAUCCGUAGAUAUCACUAGGAAUACCUAAAGCGAAGGCGAUCUCCUGGAACAUUACUGACGCUAAGGCGUGAAAGCGUGGGGAGCAAACAGGGUUAGAUACCCGUGUAGUC